Long non-coding RNA from Oncorhynchus tshawytscha (Chinook salmon), 985 nucleotides. The record is from Ensembl. Lineage: Eukaryota; Metazoa; Chordata; Actinopteri; Salmoniformes; Salmonidae.
CGGUAUUAAGACCAUCUGUGAGGGAGAAGUACGCGGGGCUUUCGUGGCUCGUCUGGUCGAGUUGUCCAAUGAAAAAAAAAAGGCAUCAGGAAAAGAUAUAGAGAGCUCUGACCAAGACGGUUAUUUCCGUUGGAUUUAGGGACCACUCUGAUUUUCAUUAACAAUUGACCAGAAAGACCAGUUUUUCUGGAUAGCUUAUUUUGGUGUUUUUGGUUUUUGGAGAUCUUUAAUAAGAUAUUACACAGCUGGACAUUGCAUAACAGAAAUGUGGAAUGCUGCGUUCGGAAAUGGGUCGGAUUUGCGUAGUGGAGGAGGCGGCGGCGGGUACGUGCCAGCGCAGGACUGGGAAUUCGUUUCCUGCUCGCGUCUGGAAAGAGAAAGAGAGAGGGGCAGAGGGAAGAGUCGCAGUCCGUUCAGGACGUUCUCCUCCCCGCCAACAGUCACUCAGUUCUACGAACAGUCUCAUCCUGGAACGGUUGGAACAUCACUGGAGCUUCCUCGGGGACAAGUUCGGGCGCAAGAGCCAGGGACUCAUCACUCCCGCCUGAAAAAGAAGUUUGAACACUUCAAGAAACGCCACGGACAGGACAAGGAAGAAUGGAUACGAGAGAAGGAGAUACUUUUAAGACAAGUUGCUGAGAUACAAGGUGGGGAGAACAGAAGGAUUUUGUUGGAUCUGAAGACUGUAGUGGAGGAGGUACAGCUAGAGGUGAAGAGAGAGGAGUCGAAGAGGAGCGAGCUACAGCUGCAGUACACUAAGGACAGAUGUGCCUGGGAACUGGAGAGAGCUGAGCUGAAAUGCAGAAUCGCACAGUUGGAGGCUAGAGGAGGUCCUGUCGUUGAGCUGGGGCUGAGAACUCAGAGUCCAGAGCCCAGGGAGAGUCCUCUACAGCGGGGGACAGAGAGCAGCAGAGGAGGCUGCUGGUCGACACCCACACGGCCGCCAUGGACCUGCGCUGUCGGCUGGAGCUCAGCGAGAAGGGCU